This 1005-nucleotide ribosomal RNA is filed under the name Streptococcus oralis. Its description in RNAcentral is "bacterial SSU rRNA". It matches the Rfam family "Bacterial small subunit ribosomal RNA", at positions 422 to 1458 of the family's 1533-position model. Lineage: Bacteria; Bacillati; Bacillota; Bacilli; Lactobacillales; Streptococcaceae. The record is from RNAcentral.
AUCGAAAACUUUGUGUAGAAAGACGAGUUUAGAGUGAAAUUCCACUGGACGGUUCUACCAGAAGGGACGCUAAUACGUCCAGCAGCGCGGUAAUCGUAGUCCCGAGCGUGUCCGGAUUUUUGGCGUAAGCGAGGCAGGGGUUAGAAAGUCUGAAGUAAAGGCUGGGUUAACCAUAGUCGCUUGGAAACUGUUAACUGAGUCAAGAGGGAGAGUGAAUUCCAUGGUAGCGGGAAAUGCGUAGAUUAUGGAGGAACACCGGUGGCGAAAGCGGCUCUCUGGUUUGUAACUGACGCUGAGGCUCGAAAGCGUGGGGAGCAAACAGGAUUAGAUACCCUGGUAGUCCACGCCGUAAACGAUGAGUGCUAGGUGUUAGACCCUUUCCGGGGUUUAGUGCCGCAGCUAACGCAUUAAGCACUCCGCCUGGGGAGUACGACCGCAAGGUUGAAACUCAAAGGAAUUGACGGGGGCCCGCACAAGCGGUGGAGCAUGUGGUUUAAUUUGAAGCAACGCGAAGAACCUUACCAGGUCUUGACAUCCCUUUGACCGCUCUAGAGAUAGAGUUUUCCUUCGGGACAGAGGUGACAGGUGGUGCAUGGUUGUUGUCAGCUCGUGUCGUGAGAUGUUGGGUUAAGUCCCGCAACGAGCGCAACCCCUAUUGUUAGUUGCCAUCAUUCAGUUGGGCACUCUAGCGAGACUGCCGGUAAUAAACCGGAGGAAGGUGGGGAUGACGUCAAAUCAUCAUGCCCCUUAUGACCUGGGCUACACACGUGCUACAAUGGGUGGUACAACGAGUCGCAAGCCGGUGACGGCAAGCUAAUUUUUUAAAGCCCGUUUCAGUUCGGAUUGUAGGCUGCAACUUGCCUACAUGAAGUCGGAAUCGCUAGUAAUCGCGGAUCAGCACGCCGCGGUGAAUACGUUCCCGGGCUUUGUACACACCGCCCGUCACACCACGAGAGUUUGUAACACCCGAAGUCGGUGAGGUAACCCUUUAGGAGCCAGCCGCCU